RNAcentral lists this non-coding RNA (84 nucleotides) under Thalassomonas actiniarum. Its description in RNAcentral is "c-di-GMP sequence". It matches the Rfam family "c-di-GMP-I riboswitch aptamer". Rfam says of the family: GEMM was predicted in a large-scale screen for bacterial structured RNA regulatory elements. Lineage: Bacteria; Pseudomonadati; Pseudomonadota; Gammaproteobacteria; Alteromonadales; Colwelliaceae. The record is from Rfam by way of RNAcentral.
CCGCGAAAAAGGCAAGGUGUCUGAAAAGAUGCUCACGCAAAACUACCGGCCUAAAGGGAAACCUAUGGCGGCGGAGCUACCACG